This 784-nucleotide long non-coding RNA is filed under the name Nicotiana benthamiana. RNAcentral describes it as "long non-coding RNA (NBEN_LNC013705)". Lineage: Eukaryota; Viridiplantae; Streptophyta; Magnoliopsida; Solanales; Solanaceae. The record is from RNAcentral.
GGCUAGCAAAGAAAACAAAAAAAAGAGAAAACGAAAACUAAACAAACAUUACAAACUUUUCCACUUGUUUACUCGGUGCCCCCAACGCCCCCUUCAGCAUUAUCAGCGCCCUCGGCGCCAUCAUCACCCCCGGCGUAGACGGGUCAAAACCACAGUCAAGGCGGGCUUCGUGAGCCUUUUAGCGUGCCUCCUCAUAUGUGGCCUCAGACACGACGCCGGCUUGCCACAACCACCUGUACACAUUGAGUUGGGCCUCGGCAUACGUCCAAAGCUCACGAGAAGGACCGAAAGAAGCGGCCUGGUCCCUCAGGCGCUGGUUCUCGGCCUCUAAGGCCGCGAUCCGGUCCACUGCAGCACGGGCGUCCCUCUCACAUACGGCAAUGCGCCCUUCAACGACCGUUCUCGAAAGGAAGCGGCGGCCCUCUCUAAUCCACGCUCCAUUUCCUGGGCGCGGUUGGUCGCCUGCAAUGUUUCAACCCUCGCUAGGGCAUCCUCUGCCUGCUUCCUUGAAGUGGCGGCCUCAGACUCUAGGGCAGCCACCUGCCUAGUAUAAGCCUCACCUGCCGCAGCCAGAUUGUGGCGCUCCCUCUCAGCAGCCGCCCUUCUCUCAGCAUCCGCCCCUUCGUUCGCUUGGCGGAGCUGCCCCUCAAGGGCAGUUACCCUGCUGAGGGUCUGUUGCAUAUGAAGCUCCCUCCGCGCCAACUCUUCUACCAGCUCCCGGUUCCGUGGGUCGGUCCUUAUGCGUUCACGCAAGCCGUGGCACCAAUCACCGUAGCAGCGAUAC